This is a long non-coding RNA of Micropterus dolomieu (smallmouth bass), 303 nucleotides long. RefSeq lists it as uncharacterized. The record is from RefSeq and is a predicted model, not a curated record. Lineage: Eukaryota; Metazoa; Chordata; Actinopteri; Centrarchiformes; Centrarchidae. The transcript is spliced from 2 exons.
GUUAACCCUGUGUGUGUGUGUAUAUAUCCUUGCUUGUUUCCCUCAGUCUUUGUCUGGUCAUUUUCGUGUGUAUACGCUCUGUCUCAUAUUGUCUGCCUUGCUCGUCGUGUUUCCCUCCUUCCUUUCGAUUCUGUUUCGAUUACCUUGUUUUUGGACUCAGCUUAUCAGCUACUCUGCCAACUGGCUGAGAGAGGCCGAGCAGUGUGAAGCCACGAUACAUUGCUUGUAUAGCUGGAGCAUAGUGUCCAAUGCACCUUUUUGUACCAAAGUAUAAAUGUGUAAAUAUACAGUAUAUAAAUGUCA